AAAACAUAGCUAUAUGGAAAGAUAUCUAGUGAAGUCUGCCCAAUGUUUUUAUAAAUGGCCGCAGUACUUUGACUGUGCUAAGGUAGCAAAAUAAUUAGGCUUUUAAUUGGAGUCGGGUAUGAAAGACCUAAUGAUUAGUGGCUGUUUCUAAGGAUUUUUAUCUAAUUUUCUUAAAGGGUGAAAAUUCCCUUAUGCACUUAUAUUAGACGAGAAGACCCUAAGAAUUUUUAGGAAACCAAUUUGCUUUGGGAAUUUUUUGUUGGGGCGACAAUGUAGCAAAUAAAUUUUAACCUACAGUUAACUACAGGUCUUAUUUAAUCAAGAAGAUAAUUACCUUAGGGAUAACAGCAUAAUUUUUCUAAAAGUUUGUGACCUCGAUGUUGGACUAGGGACUAUUAAAGUUAACCAUUUUAAUAGAAGUUUCUGUUCGAAACUUUUAUACCUACGUGAUCU
This 453-nucleotide ribosomal RNA is filed under the name Megapallifera ragsdalei. RNAcentral's name for it is "partial 16S ribosomal RNA". It matches the Rfam family "Bacterial large subunit ribosomal RNA", at positions 1810 to 2606 of the family's 2925-position model. Lineage: Eukaryota; Metazoa; Mollusca; Gastropoda; Stylommatophora; Philomycidae. The record is from RNAcentral.